CAGUAGCCGCGGGAAUACGAGGGGAGCUAGCGUUAUUCGGAAUUACUGGGCGUAAAGCGCACGUAGGCGGCUUUGUAAGUUAGAGGUGAAAGCCCAGAGUUCAACUCUGGAAUUGCCUUUAAGACUGCAUCGCUUGAAUCCAGGAGAGGUGAGUGGAAUUCCGAGUGUAGAGGUGAAAUUCGUAGAUAUUCGGAAGAACACCAGUGGCGAAGGCGGCUCACUGGACUGGUAUUGACGCUGAGGUGCGAAAGCGUGGGGAGCAAACAGGAUUAGAGACCCCUGUAGUCCCUGUCUCUUAUAA
RNAcentral lists this ribosomal RNA (301 nucleotides) under uncultured bacterium. Its description in RNAcentral is "partial 16S ribosomal RNA". It matches the Rfam family "Bacterial small subunit ribosomal RNA", at positions 509 to 809 of the family's 1533-position model. The record is from RNAcentral.